CCUACGGGCGGCAGCAGUGGGGAAUAUUGGGCAAUGGGCGCAAGCCUGACCCAGCAACGCCGCGUGAAGGAAGAAGGCUUUCGGGUUGUAAACUUCUUUUCUGAGGGACGAAGAAAGUGACGGUACCUCAGGAAUAAGCCACGGCUAACUACGUUCCAGCAGCCGCGGUAAUACGUAGGUGGCAAGCGUUAUACGGAUUGCGUGGGUGAAAAGGGCGUGUAGGCGGGAAAGCAAGUCAGAUGUGAAAACUCAGGGCUCAACCCUGGGCCUGCCUUUGACACUGUUGUUCUUGAGUGCUGGAGAGGCAAGCGGAAUUCCGGGUGUAGCGGUGAAAUGCGUAGAUAUACGGAGGAACACCAGUGGCGAAGGCGGAUUGCUGGACAGUAACUGACGCUGAGGCGCGAAAGCGUGGGGAGCAAACAGGAUUAGAUACCCGAGUAGUC
Molecule: ribosomal RNA, 443 nt
Filed under: uncultured bacterium
Lineage: Bacteria
Description: partial 16S ribosomal RNA
Rfam family: Bacterial small subunit ribosomal RNA
Source: RNAcentral